This 525-nucleotide ribosomal RNA is filed under the name uncultured bacterium. RNAcentral describes it as "bacterial SSU rRNA". It matches the Rfam family "Bacterial small subunit ribosomal RNA", at positions 9 to 527 of the family's 1533-position model. The record is from RNAcentral.
GAGUUUGAUCCUGGCUCAGGAUGAACGCUAGCGGCAGGCCUAAUACAUGCAAGUCGAACGGCAAGAUUUGGUAGCAAUACUGAAUCCUAGAGUGGCGCACGGGUGAGUAACGCGUACAUGACAUACCUAUAAGCGAGGGAUAGCAUUGGGAAACUGGUAGUAACCCCUCAUGUGAUUAUUUGUAAUAAAGGUAAAUAAUUAAAACUACGGUGCUUAUAGAUUGGUGUGCGUCUGAUUAGCUAGUUGGCGAGGUAACGGCUCACCAAGGCGACGAUCAGUAGGGGGCGUGAGAGCGUGAACCCCCACACGGGUACUGAGACACGGACCCGACUCCUACGGGAGGCAGCAGUAAGGAAUAUUGGUCAAUGGAGGGAACUCUGAACCAGCCAUGCCGCGUGCAGGAUGAAAGCCCUCUGGGUUGUAAACUGCUUUUAACAGGGAAGAAAAUGCUAUACGUGAUAUAGUACUGACGGUACCUGAGGAAUAAGCACCGGCUAACUCCGUGCCAGCAGCCGCGGUAAUCCG